Molecule: long non-coding RNA, 1945 nt
Filed under: Salmo trutta (river trout)
Lineage: Eukaryota; Metazoa; Chordata; Actinopteri; Salmoniformes; Salmonidae
Description: lncRNA (ENSSTUG00000000048.1)
Source: RNAcentral
GGCACACCUGGAACUAUGGGUGGCAAAGGAUCAACAGGAAGACGAGGGAUGAAUGGACAGAAAGUGCGUUGCCUUUGUUAGAAAUUUGUUAUUCUUCAAUAACACAAACUCCAAAGCAAAUCAGGGGGAGAAAAAUAGGUUUAUUUGAGAAGGAUAAAUCAAGAUGUUAUGCUGGGAGGUAGAUGUUCAGAUGUUCAGUCUCCCCUGUCCUCAGCUUUUCCCCACUGAACAAAGGAACAGGAUUCAAUUUAUAACCCCCCAUCCUAGCCUAGGGUUGACCAUCAGAAGUCCUUGCAAUACAACUUGGCCAAUGGCCAAAUAACCAGUAUCCUGCCCCAGACGCCAUGUACAGAACGUAGCACACGUCACUGAGUUCACCAGUGACAUUCCACAGAUUCUAAACAGAUGUUGAACUGAAACACAACUCCUAUUUAUAAUUCCCUAUUGACCAUUAGGAUUUUUAGUACUCUCGUCCUCUCAAACCCUCAAACUCUGCAUUGUGUAUUUAUCUUCAAAAUAUUCUUAUACCUUUGACCUACAGUUAUAUAAUACAUUACAAUACAAAACAUUAGCCAUCUUGGUAGGACAAUUUACCAGGACUGCAGAGCAGCUGAAACAUAUUACAUAUAGACACAUAAAAUGUAUACAUAAAAAUAUGCUUAUAAAAUAAUGUUUUAUAGCCAUUCUUCCAACCCAAUACUGUGUGGUCUCCUCACAGGGCCAACCUGGGGACCCCGGAGUCAACGGAGCCCUUGGAACACUUGGGCCAAGAGGGAUGCCGGGUCUUGAUGGUAGUGACGGCUAUGGACCUCCUGGACCCCAGGGAAUGAAGGGAGAGCCUGGUUUCCAUGGUUACCCUGGAUUACAGGGUGAAAGUGGUGAUUUUGGAGUCAAAGGAGGUCCAGGCCCCAAAGGAAACCGAGGCAGAGGGGGGAACUCGGGCAGGUCGGGUGAGUCAGGAGAUCCAGGAUCCAUUGGACCACCGGGACACACUGUUAGUAUAUCAUUUGCGUUUUUGGAUCUUUAAAAGGAACUUUACAAAUCCCAUGUAUUAGUUGUUUUAUUAUUGUUAUUUGUUUCAAGUGAAUAACAAUAGUAGUUGUAGUAUUGGUUGUUUUUACAGUAGAAGUAUUGGUAAGAUAUUCACUGUUUACAUGUGGAUUUAUGACUAAUUCUCUAUUCCUAUCUAGGGCUCUAGAGGCAGACCAGGAGAGAGAGCCAUGUCUGUAUGUGUAUUCUGUCUGAUCUUUGUUCCAAUUUAAGUAUAAAACAUUUUACAUAGAGAAUCUUGAGAGCUAUUUAACAUGUUAUUUGAUUUGUCUCCCUAGGAAUGCCAGCUGACCACCUAUAUCCGUGAUAACUGUGGUAAGCUCUUGGUAUUCCUACUCUAUAUCCGUGAUAACUGUGGUAAGCUCUUGGUAUUCCUACUCUAUAUCCGUGAUAACUGUGGUAAGCUCUUGGUAUUCCUACUCUAUAUCCGUGAUAACUGUGGUAAGCUCUUGGUAUUCCUACUCUAUAUCCGUGAUAACUGUGGUAAGCUCUUGGUAUUCCUACUCUAUAUCCGUGAUAACUGUGGUAAGCUCUUGGUAUUCCUACUCUAUAUCCGUGAUAACUGUGGUAAGCUCUUGGUAUUCCUACUCUAUAUCCGUGAUAACUGUGGUAAGCUCUUGGUAUUCCUACUCUAUAUCCGUGAUAACUGUGGUAAGCUCUUGGUAUUCCUACUCUAGAUUUUUGUAAGAAAAAGAUCCGCUGUGUCAAUUGCUUUAUUGCUGGUAAGGUCAUGUUUUCAUAAGCAAAGAUUAAUUCAUUCCUAAUUUUGUCUCUAAACGAUGAUAUUUUUCUCCCCCAAACAGCAUGCUCUCAAGGUAUGUCUCCAUUAACCCUUCCUCGUCCAAAUAAAUGUAUGUACUUGACUGUAGAUUCUGGUGUAAUCAAACCAGAACUC